Molecule: non-coding RNA, 117 nt
Organism: Heterocephalus glaber (naked mole-rat)
Lineage: Eukaryota; Metazoa; Chordata; Mammalia; Rodentia; Bathyergidae
Source: Rfam
AAGUUCCUCAGACUGCUCUUUCCUGUAAAUUCUUUUUGGUGAUUUUUUUUUGGCUUGGUCCCAUACUCUCAGACAGGUUAGCCUGUCUCUCCUGCUAGAUUGAUGAAAUCAAGCAUC